Molecule: ribosomal RNA, 427 nt
Filed under: uncultured bacterium
Lineage: Bacteria
Description: partial 16S ribosomal RNA
Rfam family: Bacterial small subunit ribosomal RNA
Source: RNAcentral
GUGGGGAAUAUUGGGCAAUGGGGGAAACCCUGACCCAGCGACGCCGCGUGAGGGAAGAAGGCCUUAGGGUCGUAAACCUCUGUUGUGUGGGAAGAAGAGCGUGACGGUACCACACGAGGAAGUCCCGGCUAACUACGUGCCAGCAGCCGCGGUAAUACGUAGGGGACGAGCGUUGUCCGGAUUUACUGGGCGUAAAGGGCGCGUAGGCGGUCGUUUAAGUCAGCUGUGAAAUGGUUUGGCUUAACCGGAUCAUGCGGUUGAAACUGGAUGACUGGAGUGCUGGAGAGGCAAGUGGAAUUCCCAGUGUAGCGGUGAAAUGCGUAGAUAUUGGGAAGAACACCGGUGGCGAAGGCGACUUGCUGGCCAGCAACUGACGCUGAGGCGCGAAAGCCAGGGGAGCAAACGGGAUUAGAAACCCGAGUAGUCC